CUCUACAAAGGUUCGGAUGCGGCGAAUGACGGAUCAAGAUCACACGUCUCCCGAGGAUCUAAGCGCUCGAUUCGAAGCUCUUGACCCAAGCUUCAAUCUGUGGUCGCCAAUCAAUCACUUGGAUGAAAUACACUUGAUCCAAGCUCUUCACCGUGUUCGUGGCUGACGGAGACGAGGCGGGACGGCGACAUGAAAAACCGGUGCAUUCACGGAGGAGGAACUCGGGGUCUUGAGAUUUGACAAGUAACCCAUCUUCUGAAGCUUCUACGAGAGCUUCCCUGGGCUUCUUCAAUUUCGUCAUGGAUCGAGAAAAAGCGAGGAAGAAUAAGAAAGGAUCUAGUUCGUUCUUGUUGUCUUCAACAGGACCGGAAGAAAAAAAAGUAAAUCAACAAAAUUAGGGUUCAUGAAUUUGGUAUUUGGGAAAGUGGUUCCGAUUUGAUAUAUGAGAGAGAACAAAGAAUCUAAGGGCAAGAUUAUCGGUGUCCUUAGAGGGAUAUCUUAGCAAUUAAACACUCAUAAUUAAAUGAAAAAUAACCAAUAAAAACAAGGACGCCUCUUAAUUAAGAAGUUUUCGGUGUGGUCCUUACGAGCCACGUGUAGGUCUGAGAUUCACUUCGAAAACAAAUUGGUUCUCUCUCGAAGGCGAUUCAAGCGGCGACGAUUCGAGCGGCUCUAUCGACGGCGGUUCUCUCUCGACGCCACAUCUCUCUCGACGGCGCUUCUCUCUCAACGGUUCUCUUCUCGUUGAUUUUGAUCGAAGUCCAGAGGAUCUGUUGUUUCAUCCACAGCUUUUUCUGCGAUUCAAAGGUGAAUAAUCUACCUGUUUUGCUGAAGUUAAUAACUUCAUCGGGAGUAUCUUCGAUCCUGACAGCAAAGGCCGCAUGGAAAAGCUCAAGGAAAUGGAUCCUAUAAAUUUCGAAACUUCUGAUGUUGCAGAGGAAGGUUCAGAACACUUAAGCUCUUAGCUCUUGUAUGGGAUCUUUGGCCAAGAACCAAACAAGUGAUAUAUCUUUCUUGAUGGGCUUCUUGCUCACAACAACUGUGUAUAUCAACUGAUAUAUAUAUAUUUAUUUGUUCAUGCGUUUUGUAAUUUGUAGUUUUCUUUAUUGGUUAUUUCUUGUCAUAUAUUGAAACCAAAGGCAAUGUAUCAGCUAGCAAAUGCCACUAAAUUCAUAAAGAGACACAUGAGUCUGUUUGUAUCUUAUUAAAAGUCCUACCAAUAAUCAACUCUUUUGUGAUUGUCCUUAACUUUGUCUCUUACCAACCAAAAAUUAUUUAAAUAAGCUAGGGACUCAAAACUAAGGACAAUCAAUAAUGUUGCUCUAAUAGUUUACGUAUCUUCGUCUAGUUUGAAAAUAGGAAAGUGUAUAGUUAAUUUAGUAUAAGGGUAUAAGACACAAACCGUAUGCAAUAUGUGUGCACGUGUAAAAUUAUGUAAAUAGAAACUUAAAAUGGGUGUAUAUGUAAAAAAUUCAAACAUGAUAGUAGUUUUUCUAAUUUCGUUUUACCAAGUCUUGCAUAAAAAAUCUUGAAAGUGACAUCUAGUGACACUUUAAACUUUGAAGAAUUUUCACUAGCACUUUAAAUCUUUAAAGUGGCAUUUAUAUCACAAAAAACCUUCAAUUUGAUUUACGUGUUCAUCAAGCCAAAAACUGACCUGUACAACAGGUAAUUAUGAUGAUGUGUCGGUUUUAAAAAAAACAUUAUUAAUAAAUAAAAUAAAUAUUUUUUAAAAAAAAUUAGAAAAUUAAAUAAGAAAUCAGAUAAGUAAAUA
Long non-coding RNA from Brassica rapa (field mustard), 1774 nucleotides. RefSeq lists it as uncharacterized. The record is from RefSeq and is a predicted model, not a curated record. Lineage: Eukaryota; Viridiplantae; Streptophyta; Magnoliopsida; Brassicales; Brassicaceae.